CUUUUGGAUGAGCGAUUUCAGUCUUUCUAGGAAUUCUUUGAUUGGUUUCUUCUCAUACGAAUCACAUGUAGGACAUGUCUAGAAAUCAAUGAAAGAAUAAUAUUCUUCUUUAAAACUUUUUUCCUGUUCAAUCAAAUAUUCAUUCAAAUUUUAUUUUUUCCAAUUAGAGACAUAAAUCAUGUUCACUGAAAAACUCUGAGAAGUGCAUAAAAUUGUUCAGAAAAUAAUAUUGAAAAAAAUUGCUUGUAAUCCCCUCAGAGAUAACCACUGCAAUGUUUUAAUUUAUAUCCUUUCAGCAAUGUUUUCUUUGCAUUUAUGUUAUCUAUUUUGGUUAUUAAUUUCUCUUUUUUCUUUACACUUAACAUAUCACAAGCAUUUCCCAUGUAUUCAAUAGUCUUUAAAAAUAUGACCCAUUAGGGUUGCUUUGUACUCCUACAUAGGAUUGAAGUAUUACUGUUUUUGGACACAUAGAUUGAUGCUAACUUUUCCCUAUCAUAUACAAUGUUCGAUGAACAUUUCUGAAUAAUUUUUCAUAUACAUUACAAAUUACUAAAAGUAGAGUUACUCAAAUUAAAGGGGAUAAAAAUAUUAAGGUUUUUGAUAUACAUUAAACUAUUUUUCUUCUAUUCACAGAGAACAUUCUUAGCAUUACUGGGUAUUGUUAAAAUUUUUAAUGGAAAAAAAUAGGAUUUCCUGUCUUAAUUUACAUUUAUUUGGUUAUGAGAUUAAACAAUGUUGCAUCUGUGUAUUGUCCUCUUGUAUUUCUUUUUUAAAAAAAUCCUUGGUUUAUGUUCUUUAUCCUUAUUCUUGUUGAGAGACCAAAAACCAGGCCAUUACUUGCUGUUCAGCAUCGCUAAUGCCAGUUUGAUGUUGUGGUGAGAGAUAUUUGACUGACAGUGUUCACAGGAACAUCCAACAGUGAGAAUCACGUCUUGAACAGGACUUCUUCCUGUAUAAUACCUGGCAUAAUGUCUUGUUACUAGUGAGUGCUCAACAAAUACUUGUGGAGUGGAUCAGUGACGUAAGUGAGUUAAAGCCCCUUCUUUGGGACAAGUGGGAACCUACCUCUAGUGGCACAUUCCACAUUAGGAUUCAGGACACCUGCCAUAGACUAUGCAUGACAUUUCUGACAUCCUAUUCACACUCUCAGGUCAGUUAGGGUGGGAUCUGCCUGAAUCAAGCAGUUGAGGAACAUAAUUUGAGACGUGCCCCACCCAAGGGAGGGAAGACUGUCCCUUGGAAAGUAAGAGUACUAUCUCAAAGAAUGGAGAAGCAGACAGAACAAGGAUCAAGACUCAACUCUUGCUUUACUUUACUCAAAUAACCAGUGACUAAUGAAUAAAUCUUAGAAAUUGUACUGAAAAUGAAAUGGAAUUUAUUGGAAGAACAAAACUCAUAUUGACCUGUUGAAACAUUUUAAUUCUGGUCUAAGAACUUGUAUCUGGGUUACCUUUUCCUUUUAGCAAAUGUGAGUAUACGAUGCUGCUCUUCCUCCCCUCAAAUUUGCUAUAUCUUCAUUUUGCCAAAAUGUAUAGAAGGACUCCACUGAGGACUGAUGCCUCAAUUUCUUUUGGUUCCUGCAAGGCCUAUCCCAUGAAUAACGAUAUUACCUGAGUCUUCCUGUGGACAAUCAGCUGAAAAUAGCAUUUGGCCUGCUUUGCAUUUUCCAACCUAUAUGCUUACCCCAUAUGAAUGUUGAUUAAUAACAUGCAUCUUUAAGACACAACCCUAUCAGGUUUGCUUUGCAUAUGUAGCCACAAGCCGAGAACCAGCUUAUCUGGUUUCCUUAUAUCAGAGCAGCUUGCCUCUUAUAAGGGCGAGAUAGUGUCCUUUACAUAUGUUUGCCAAAAUGCUUAUUUAAUAGAAACUAUUUAUAAAUGUUAAUUAUAGCACUUUUUUUUCCUUGAAAACCACAUGUUCAUAUUUGUUGAAGUUUUUUCUUUUCUCUUCUUUUUGACCACAACCGGCUUAACUUACUGGAAAAAAAUAAUAUUCAUAUUUAAAGAGGUAAAUUUUCCAGCUGAAACUGAAAACACUAACUGCUUCAUCCGUGAUGAUCUGAGAAACCAGCAUUUCUCACAGAGGCCCAUUUUGCUGAGUUAACAUUUACAUGUGUAUGUUGAAAGAAAAUUAGGUUCUGAAGAAGUAUAGGGGCCUGUCAAGUGAACUCCCUUAAGACAGUAUUGCCAAGAGUGGUUAAGACAGUGAGCAGAGAUUUUACACCUGGGAAAGCCUUUCUGAAAGCCUCUGAAAGACAUCUGGAUACUGAUGCCACGUUGAUGGGGCUGUGCUAUCUCUCCUGCCCUUCCUUGCUCAUCUGUGUCAAUAGACAAUAGAAAUUUGCGCUAUGCUUUCUGCAAGCAGCAGAGCUCUCUCUGGCAAUCUGUGGUCCAGGGCAAAUAACUCUUGCAUUUGGCUUCAGAUGCACAUCAAAGGCAGCCUUAAAGAAAGAAAGAAGCAGUGGAGCUCUCCUUCUAACUGCCUUAGGAUGUGUUGAGUAGGGGAGUAGAGAGAUUAACCUCAAUUCAGGUGGCUGCAGGUGCCCUGUCAGUUAGGAUGCACCCAAGUUCAUGUGCAGCACCAUCAUCUGGGAGCAUAACCAUUGCUUUCUUUUGCUAUGCCUUGCAGAUUCAGAGGGCAAGGCUUUGUUUCCUUCAUCCUUCAACACCUGGAAAUGUGAGGAGUUAAUCUGUUCUGCAUUAGUUUUGUAGAGUAAAGGGAGCUUACAAACUACUCUUCUCUUUAGCCAGAGAACAGUCAAGUGCUGCUUCUGCAGGGUGGUGCACUUGGCUUUGUUGAUUUGCAAUUGAAUAUUUGAAAAUAAUUUGCCUUCUUCAACUUAUUUUUGACCUACUUAAUUUUUUUUUCAAAGAAAACCCUAGGCAUUCACACUAAGCCUUGCUAACUAGGUAAAAUAACCUUUGUGCUACAUAUAAGGUUUAUAGUAGGGUCUCUCAAAAGUGGCACUAUUGACAUUUUGGGCUGGAUAACUCUUUGUUAUCAGGGCUGUUUAGUAGCAUCCCCAGCCUCUACCUACUAAAUGCCAAUAGAAACUACCCACCCCACACACACACACACAAUUAUGGAAACAGAAAAAUUUUCCAGACAAUGCCAAAUGUUCUCAGAGGGCAAGAUCCCCAUCCAAUGAGGACCACUGGAUACAUGAUUAGAAAGAGAAAGAAAUACACCUGGUGAGGCCAGUUAGUCUUAGAUAAUCACUGUAUAUCAGCAUUUAUAUGCAAUGCUUAAUCGAGUUCAUUUUCAUUAAACUUUUUAAUCUCUUAAAAUCUCUAAUAGACUCUGCUUCUAUGCUAGCCCUGAAGAGCUUAUUAUAAUGCUACCACGGCCUUGAACUAUUUUCUUCACUCCUGAGUUUGCCUGCCAGAAUAGCUUAAAUUUAUGCCGUAUUCACUUGUAUCAUAGCCAGCUAGCCAGUGUUGUUUGAUCAGAUACAGUGUCACCAAGACAAAAUCCUGUCAUUACAAUAUAAGAUAAAAAAUAGCUCUCUUUAACAAAGCAUUCAAAGGAAGUACCCACUAGAUCAACGCAAGUUAGAAAAUGGGCUAUCUUUUCAUAUUUUGCAAGUUAUAGACUGUAGCUAAGAAACUCCCAAAAUGACUCUAACCACAGCAAUUAGACAAAGAGCAUGAGAUACUAAAAAACAUGUGUUUUGAUAAUUAGGACAUUAAGAAAUAGUCUAACUUAUUGGAAAAGUCUUUCCAAUAAGCUGAAUGUGCUACUUUCAUUUUAGAUGCUGCUUAUUAGAAAAGGACCCAGUAAAUGAGAGUGGUUAGAUUUAGAACUAGAGAGUGAGUUUUAAAGAAAAGCAAUAGUUGUGACUCAUUCACUUUCUAAACUUUUGCACAUAGUCAUUUACGAUAAUUGUUUUCUUUGCAAUGUAUCUUCCUAAGUCUCCCCUUUUGUAGUGUCCUAAUUACUGGUAGCACUUCUAUAGUUAUUCUAAUUUAUGCACUUAAAAGUCUGUAACAGUGAAAACAUUUCCCCCAAUUGCGUUUAUAUCCUCAGGGUACCAAACCUGAAGACUAGAUCGAAGUUACCAAGGAACAGAUCAGUACACUGCACUCUUGAACUACCUGCUAGGCCUCUUCUUCCUGGGACCUAAUGGAUUUAAAUGGCUUAAGAGGACGGGAUGAGUUGUUGAAAACAGUCCUUUCAAAAGACUUCACGGAAGGCGAAAGACAAGACUCAGUGAAGCCAAGGUAUACGUGUGCAUGUGCUAAUGCGUGGGGGCAGGGAUUGAUGGAGUCAACGAAAUAUGCCCCAUCUGCAUCUUAGACAGGAAAAGAGAGAAAUGGGUGAAUUCCAAUUUUCAGCAUGAAUCAAGAAGGGUGCACAGUAAAUAGUAGGUGAGGAAACCAAGGCAGAAAAAAGCUGAGUAGCACACUGAAGGGAUUGGAGGAUAAUGACUGCAGAGCUUGACCACUUCUCUCCAUAGAAGGAAACUGCCUCUGGUGCCGGUGCCAUUGGGCUAUAACAGAAUAGCUUCUGCCAUUCUCAAGGCCCCAUAAUGGAAUUAAACCACAGUGGUGAUGCUUCUAACAUGUGGAUUUGGAGUGAGUGACAACCUGGUCCAGUGUAAGAUUCAAUAUUCUUCUGGCAUUUUACAUCCAUACAAGGAGAGAAAAUUAAAUCUAUUAACCCUUCCAAUCAUUUGGAUCAUGAAUAGCAUAGACAACAUCAAUCAGGAAAUCAGGUACCUUGACAAUUUAAUGACCUAAAAAUAUGUGAUUAACUUAUUUACAUUUAAUCAGUUAUUAUUCAUUUGCCAUGUUUUUUAAGCCUUCUCAUCCUAAAUGAGACGGCCAGAACACUUAUCUCCUGCUGCAUUUAGCUCCCAGAACUUUCAAAUAGACACUGGGGGAACUCAGUACAGAAAGACAAAAGAAAUAUGCUUAGAAAGAGAUCCAACAAAAAUGAGAUCGUCAUGACAUUAAGGGGUGGAUGGCUCAGUGUUUUGGGAUGUCCACAGUUAAGUCAUCACAUGUCACAUCAGUGUAUCUAGCAAAAGUUGUCUUGUAACUUCUGCCAUCUGAGUAUGUAUCAACUGGAAGCUUUAAUGACAUUACCAGGAUGAGGGACUCCAGCCCUUGACCUAAUUUUCACCGAGCUCUCAGAACCACUGCUCUGAUCUUUGCUAAUUUAUUCAGAGAAUAUCUCUUAAUGGAGUUAGUGAUUCCGUCAGCCUUUGGGAUGGAGACCUUAGAAAUGUAGGAUUAAGGUGCCUGGAGGAGGUCGACUGUAGUCAUGGAGAACAAGGAGCCCAGCACUAUAGUCAUGGAGAACAAGGAGCCCAGCAGCCCACAAUCCAAAUGAACCACAGAAGCUGUGAAAGCUGGGUACCCACCUCUUGCUCUUUGGUCUCCUCCUGGCUUUCUGGAUCUCCCUGUUCCCCCUUGCUCUUUUGUUGCUCAUUAACUCCAGAUUAUAUCUCCUUCUUUUCUCUCCCUAGCUUUUCUUUCUUUCACCCCAGUUUGUUUCUUGUUCAAAUCCUCACAUCAUGAAAUCAAAAUAUUUUUAAUUCUGUUUUAUUAUAAUAAGAAUUUCUAGUCUCUACUUCAAAUACCAUUGGCCCUCUGUGUCCAAGAGUUUCCAAUCCAAAGAUGAGGAAGGCUGACUUUAUUCAUUGUACUGCACCUUUUUAUAUAAAGGACUUGAGCAUCCAUGUGUUUUGCUAUACUCCAGGGCUCCUGGAACCAAGUCUCCAGUGGAUACUGAGGGGUGACUGUAUUAAUUUCAAGUAAAAGGAAUUUGAAAUCCCCUUGUGGCACAGUGGUUUAAGGAUCCAGUGUUGCCACAGCUUUGGUGCAGGCUGGAUCCUUGACGCUGGGGAAUUUCUAUAUGCCACAGAUGCAGCCAAAAAAAAAAAAACAAAAACAAAAACGUGAAAUGAAUUAAACAAUAUAUUCUCUCUAAGGAGCGCAGAGAGUCCUUUUUAAACAGUCUUUCCUAUUAGAUCUUUAGGGUUCUUUUUUCCUUCUCAUGAGCCAAUGAUCCUUUUUCAGAAAAAAAGAAAGACAAUACUUUUGCUUUUUCCUGAUUUAUGGAAAUGUAGGUCAGGGGAAAAGGUUAAAAAAGGUAAUAUCUGCUUUGUAUCUGGGAAAAAGAUAAUUUGGGAAUGUCCUGUGUUUACUUUCCAAACUUCUAUGGAGCUACAAUUGUUAUCACAUGGGUUUUCUGUGGUUGGUUGAAGCUGGGGAUGCAAAACCACAGAUAUGGAGGAAUUGAUUAUAAAUUGUAAGUGGAAUUUUGACUCUGAGGAAGGUGCUUCCCCUAACCCAUGCAUUGUUCAAGGGCCAAAUGUAUUUUACUUUAGAAAGAGCUCUCUUGCCUCUUUUUUCUUUGUUUGUUUUUUGUUUUGCUUUGUUUUUAGGGCCACACC
Non-coding RNA from Sus scrofa (pig), 6400 nucleotides. NCBI's taxonomy places the organism in Eukaryota, Metazoa, Chordata, Mammalia, Artiodactyla, Suidae. The record is from RefSeq and is a predicted model, not a curated record.